Molecule: ribosomal RNA, 599 nt
Filed under: Marinobacter nauticus
Lineage: Bacteria; Pseudomonadati; Pseudomonadota; Gammaproteobacteria; Pseudomonadales; Marinobacteraceae
Description: bacterial SSU rRNA
Rfam family: Bacterial small subunit ribosomal RNA
Source: RNAcentral
UGCUACCCGCUGACGAGCGGCGGACGGGUGAGUAAUGCUUAGGAAUCUGCCCAGUAGUGGGGGAUAGCCCGGGGAAACCCGGAUUAAUACCGCAUACGUCCUACGGGAGAAAGCAGGGGAUCUUCGGACCUUGCGCUAUUGGAUGAGCCUAAGUCGGAUUAGCUAGUUGGUGGGGUAAAGGCCUACCAAGGCGACGAUCCGUAGCUGGUCUGAGAGGAUGAUCAGCCACAUCGGGACUGAGACACGGCCCGAACUCCUACGGGAGGCAGCAGUGGGGAAUAUUGGACAAUGGGGGCAACCCUGAUCCAGCCAUGCCGCGUGUGUGAAGAAGGCUUUCGGGUUGUAAAGCACUUUCAGUAGGGAGGAAAACCUUAUGGCUAAUACCCAUGAGGCUUGACGUUACCUACAGAAGAAGCACCGGCUAACUCCGUGCCAGCAGCCGCGGUAAUACGGAGGGUGCAAGCGUUAAUCGGAAUUACUGGGCGUAAAGCGCGCGUAGGUGGUUUGGUAAGCGAGAUGUGAAAGCCCCGGGCUUAACCUGGGAACGGCAUUUCGAACUGUCAGACUAGAGUGUGGUAGAGGGUAGUGGAAUUUCCUGU